AAAACAAAAAAAACCUGGUUAGGAAAUUAUUUUAGUUUUAAAUAUUUUUUUGUGUAAAACUAUAUUUGUGAACUAAUAUUUACGUCCUUGUAUAUUAAUUUUGAUAAAUAAUAUAAAUCAUUAUUUACAUAAAUAUAUAUGUCUUUAUGUAUUUGAUCUAGAAUCGUAAGCGUAUGAAACACUGAGUUUAAAAUUCUUGGAUUGGGAUGCAUAUGUUCACUAAGUCAAUGUGGAAUUUAGUUUCUAAGUCAAUGUUAGUUGAUGUCUAUUGUAUAUGUGAAUUAAUUUUGCUUUUCUUCAGCCCUUUAUUUGUCUGAAGAUCUUUAUGAUAAUUCUUAAGAAACAAAUUUGAUAAAUAUGUUGGUAGGAUUAGGUCUCGGUAAAAAAAAAAUCAGAACCGAAAAUUCAGAGCCAAAAGGGAACCGAAAUGACUGAAACUAGAACGAAACCAAAUUUUAUAUCUGAAAUAACCAAAUCAAACUGGAAUAUGUAUAACAUGGUUUCCGUUUGGUCUCUAGGAUUUUCCUCGCCAGUUCCGGUUGAACGCGGUGGGAUAAUCGAACUAAGUGAGAGAUCCGGAUACCUGAAUUAUCAAAAAAAAAGAAAAAAACCAAAUCAAACUGGAAUCAAACUAAGAACCAAACGGGUAACUAAAUAUAUAAAAUAUAAAGAAAUUUGUAUAUAAAUAUAUAUAUAUAUAUAUAAUAUAGAUAAUUUAAAAAUCUAUUAAAUUUAAAAGAAUCUGAAAGCAUUUGAAAAGAAAAUUAUCAAAAAAAAUAUUUUUGAACUACCCAAAAUUUUCAGAAAUUAUCCAGAUAUGUUUAUCUGAAAUUGUCGAGAUAUUUUUAUCCGGAAUAUUUAAAAUAAUCAAAACUAUUCAAGGUUUUUAUCCAAGUUACCCGAUAUAUUACCUGAAAUGCCAUAUAUUUUAUCCAAAAUAACUGAAAAAAUCAAACCAAAGGUAUGUGCUUGAAGAUUGAACCACAUGUUUAUAUCAAUCCCAAUGUAUGUACUUGGACCUGCAAGAAAGGGAUACGUUGAAAUAUUAUUCUUAAUAAAUACUUUCAAAAAGUGCAUUUGCAGAAGCAUGAGUGAAAGUAUUUACCUAUAUAAUUUUGAAGUGACGCCACUUCCAUAAGAUAAGACUUGGCUUUGUAUAUACUCAUAAAUGGAUAAGGACACAUAAUUUAUAAUAGUGUCAAGUAUAAAUAUUUAGACUUGUGUGUAAACAGGUGUGUAUUAUCUUCAUAUUCUAAAAUGGGUGGAGGGAUUUACUAUGUAGGACCUCAUGAUUCUUGAGAAAUUGGAAAGUGUAAUACACUUUCACAUAUUCACUAAAUAAUUAACAGAUAUAUCAAACUCAUGCAUAAAUUAAAAAAAAAAAGAAUAUGUGAAAGUGGUGGAGGAUUGUUGGAAAUUUAAAUGAAUCUCUAUUUUAGUAUUGGUCCUUGGGUUUGAUUCUAACAUGGCUAGGGCGUCCGCUGUCGUGUUGUCUUCUCCUGGGACUUUUUUUUAACUCGAAUAAGUGAAAUUAUGUGGCCAAAUCUUGGACGACUUUGAGAUAUGCAUCCCAGUCGCUAUGGUUCUUUGCUUUGUAGUCGCUAUUGAAAUGAUUGGCGACGAGUUCUGAGUCACAAAAGCCUAAAUGCAUUUUGCUUUAAUUGUUUUCACCAGACGUAAUUUGGCAAUCAAUGCUUCGUAUUCAGUUUCAUUGUCGGUGAAACCCAUACAUACUCCACCGACGCCAGGUCUUGUAUUUGUGGAAAUACGGUUUCAGUUUCCUAGAUGAGGAAAUGACAGCCUAAGGUUUAGUAAACAUGAAAGCGGAGAUAUACUGCACAAGGUUCACCUAUUACAGUUUUUAGUGAAGCUAUUUGCCGCACUUCUUUUGAAAAUGUGCAUUCAAAAUAAAGAUGAUUAAGAUUUUGUGCUGCUUCUCCAUAUUGUCUGAAAGGUCAUUGAUUGCUCAAAAGUUAGUUUUUGAGCUUGUUUCAUGAGAUUAAUAUCUAUAAAGUACUCAAUUUUCUUUUUCAGAUUUUGAAAAUCCUAAAAGUAUAUGAACUUUUAUCAUAUUUAUACUUAUAUGGUUUCAGUUAUCUUACAAAAAACAUCAUAAAGUAAAAAGUAGGAGAUAGUUGGGCGCAGAGUCAAGCUGGAUAAACUCAAGGAUCACUGAUUCCAAGAGGAAUAGUUGUUGGACUACGUUGAUUCCUUAGAAUGGAUGAAGGUUCUUGAAAGACGUUGAUUUGCAAAGAAUAGCCGUUAACAUGAAAUGAACUGAAGAAAUCCAGGGAUUUUAUUCAAUAAUAGAUGUCAACAACAAUCGUGCGCUCAAUUAAAUAAGAAUAUAGCAAACAAAAACCCAAAACCAACAAAGCCCAAAAAAAGAACAAAGACAAGCGAUACAUGAGUCGUGAACAAAGCCGGUGGACGGGGACGUGAAUGGUGAGAUAAGAUGAUACAUUUGGUCUUUUUUUUUAUUGUUUAAACAUGAUAUAACUUAAUGACCUGAUCGAUGCUAGCAC
Molecule: long non-coding RNA, 2525 nt
Organism: Brassica rapa (field mustard)
Lineage: Eukaryota; Viridiplantae; Streptophyta; Magnoliopsida; Brassicales; Brassicaceae
Source: RefSeq, a predicted model, not a curated record